Long non-coding RNA from Heterocephalus glaber (naked mole-rat), 352 nucleotides. Lineage: Eukaryota; Metazoa; Chordata; Mammalia; Rodentia; Bathyergidae. The record is from Ensembl.
CGACCACACCAGAGUCCCUCAUGUCAAACUGCUUUAUUACAUCUUAAAUAACAGUACAGUUGAAUAUAGGGUCUAUCUUGCAUCCAGCCUCCUUGCAGUACACUGACUUUAAAAUUAAAUACAAAAGGUGAAAAGGGUGAAGGUGCAGAGAGCUCUACAGUCAUCUGAUGGGAAGAGAAGGGGAUUUGUUGUGUUCUUGUUGCCAGACCCAGGCCUACUGCACGGUCACAGCACGAAUCCAACAGCAACAGCUCGCAACAGGACUGUUUUUUUGUUUUUUGAAAGAAGUAAAGAAAACUGUGACUCAUCCCGCUACUCAAGCGUGUAGAGCACUUGCUGCUUCCGAUAUGUG